AGAGUUUGAUCCUGGUUCAGAUUGAACGCUGGCGGCAGGCCUAACACAUGCAAGUCGAACGGUAGCACAGAGGAGCUUGCUCCUUGGGUGACGAGUGGCGGACGGGUGAGUAAUGUCUGGGAAACUGCCCGAUGGAGGGGGAUAACUACUGGAAACGGUAGCUAAUACCGCAUAACGUCGCAAGACCAAAGAGGGGGACCUUCGGGCCUCUUGCCAUCGGAUGUGCCCAGAUGGGAUUAGCUAGUAGGUGGGGUAACGGCUCACCUAGGCGACGAUCCCUAGCUGGUCUGAGAGGAUGACCAGCCACACUGGAACUGAGACACGGUCCAGACUCUUACGGGAGGCAGCAGUGGGGAAUAUUGCACAAUGGGCGCAAGCCUGAUGCAGCCAUGCCGCGUGUAUGAAGAAGGCCUUCGGGUUGUAAAGUACUUUCAGCGAGGAGGAAGGUGUUGUGGUUAAUAACCGCAGCAAUUGACGUUACUCGCAGAAGAAGCACCGGCUAACUCCGUGCCAGCAGCCGCGGUAAUAC
RNAcentral lists this ribosomal RNA (529 nucleotides) under uncultured Citrobacter sp. Its description in RNAcentral is "bacterial SSU rRNA". It matches the Rfam family "Bacterial small subunit ribosomal RNA", at positions 8 to 526 of the family's 1533-position model. Lineage: Bacteria; Pseudomonadati; Pseudomonadota; Gammaproteobacteria; Enterobacterales; Enterobacteriaceae. The record is from RNAcentral.